AACGAACGCUGGCGGCAUGCCUAACACAUGCAAGUCGAACGAGAUCUUCGGGUCUAGUGGCGCACGGGUGCGUAACGCGUGGGAAUCUGCCCUUUGGUUCGGAGUAACAGUUGGAAACGACUGCUAAUACCGGAUGAUGACGAAAGUCCAAAGAUUUAUCGCCAGAGGAUGAGCCCGCGUAGGAUUAGCUAGUUGGCGUGGUAAAGGCGCACCAAGGCGACGAUCCUUAGCUGGUCUGAGAGGAUGAUCAGCCACACUGGGACUGAGACACGGCCCAGACUCCUACGGGAGGCAGCAGUGGGGAAUAUUGGACAAUGGGCGAAAGCCUGAUCCAGCAAUGCCGCGUGAGUGAUGAAGGCCUUAGGGUUGUAAAGCUCUUUUACCCGGGAUGAUAAUGACAGUACCGGGAGAAUAAGCUCCGGCUAACUCCGUGCCAGCAGCCGCCGUAA
RNAcentral lists this ribosomal RNA (449 nucleotides) under uncultured bacterium. RNAcentral's name for it is "partial 16S ribosomal RNA". It matches the Rfam family "Bacterial small subunit ribosomal RNA", at positions 29 to 523 of the family's 1533-position model. The record is from RNAcentral.